Molecule: ribosomal RNA, 547 nt
Filed under: Debaryomyces sp.
Lineage: Eukaryota; Fungi; Ascomycota; Pichiomycetes; Serinales; Debaryomycetaceae
Description: partial large subunit ribosomal RNA
Rfam family: Eukaryotic large subunit ribosomal RNA
Source: RNAcentral
AAUAAGCGGAGGAAAAGAAACCAACAGGGAUUGCCUUAGUAACGGCGAGUGAAGCGGCAAAAGCUCAAAUUUGAAAUCUGGCACCUUCGGUGUCCGAGUUGUAAUUUGAAGAAGGUAACUUUGGAGUUGGCUCUUGUCUAUGUUCCUUGGAACAGGACGUCACAGAGGGUGAGAAUCCCGUGCGAUGAGAUGCCCAAUUCUAUGUAAAGUGCUUUCGAAGAGUCGAGUUGUUUGGGAAUGCAGCUCUAAGUGGGUGGUAAAUUCCAUCUAAAGCUAAAUAUUGGCGAGAGACCGAUAGCGAACAAGUACAGUGAUGGAAAGAUGAAAAGAACUUUGAAAAGAGAGUGAAAAAGUACGUGAAAUUGUUGAAAGGGAAGGGCUUGAGAUCAGACUUGGUAUUUUGCGAUCCUUUCCUUCUUGGUUGGGUUCCUCGCAGCUUACUGGGCCAGCAUCGGUUUGGAUGGUAGGAUAAUGACUAAGGAAUGUGGCUCUACUUCGGUGGAGUGUUAUAGCCUUGGUUGAUACUGCCUGUCUAGACCGAGGACUG